AAUAAAUUUUUUAUGGUUUAAAAAUUUUAUUAUAAGUUUAUUUUACAUAUAAAUUUUAGUGUUAAUUAUUAUUUAUUUUGAUAAUAAAUAAUUUUUGUUGUAGUAAUUAAUUUUAAAAAUUUAAGAAAUUAAGAUUUAGUAAUAUUAAAAUUAAUAACUAAUUUUGUGCCAGCAGUUGCGGUUAUACAAAAAUUAAUUUAAAUUUUUUUAGUGGUUAAUUAAUAUUUAUUUUAAUAAUUUAAAUUUUAAAUUAUUAAGUGAAAUUUUAAUUUAAUAAAAAAUUAUUUAAAAAUUAUGAUUUAAUAAAUUUAAUAUGAAACUAGGAUUAGAUACCCUAUUAUUAAAAUUUAAAUUAUUUAAACUAAAAUAGUAUGUAAUUUUAUUGAAACUUAAAUAAUUUGGCGGUAUUUUAGUUUAUUUAGAGGAAUCUGUUUAAUAAUUGAUAAUCCACGAAUUAAUUUACUUAAUUUAGAAUUUUGUAUAUCGUUGUUAAAAAAAUAUUUUUUAAUAAUAAUAAUAUUUAAAAAUUUAUAAUAAAAAUUAAAUCAGAUCAAGAUGCAGAUUAUAAUUAAGAAUAUAAUGGAUUACAAUAAAUUUAUUUUAUUGGAUUUUAAUGUGGAAAUGAUUAAUUGAAAUUGGAUUUAAAUGUAAUUUUAUUUAAUUUAAUAAAAUGAUUUUAUAUUAAAAUAUGUACAUAUUGCCCGUCGCUUUCAUUUAUAAGUUGAAAUAAGUCGUAACAAAGUAGAGGUACUGGAAAGUGUUUCUAGAAAGAU
This 773-nucleotide non-coding RNA is filed under the name Psilogramma menephron. Lineage: Eukaryota; Metazoa; Arthropoda; Insecta; Lepidoptera; Sphingidae. The record is from RNAcentral.